GACGAAGGUGGCUAGCGUUGUUCGGAAUCACUGGGCUUAAAGAGCAUGUAGGCGGCCUGUUAAGCACUUUGUGAAAUCCCCCGGCUUAACCGGGGAAUUGCUUGGUGUACUGGCAGGCUUGAGGCAGGUAGGGGCGCGUGGAACUCUUGGUGGAGCGGUGAAAUGCGUAGAUAUCAAGAGGAACGCCGGAGGCGAAAGCGAUGCGCUGGGCCUGUCCUGACGCUGAGAUGCGAAAGCCAGGGGAGCAAACGGG
RNAcentral lists this ribosomal RNA (253 nucleotides) under uncultured bacterium. Its description in RNAcentral is "partial 16S ribosomal RNA". It matches the Rfam family "Bacterial small subunit ribosomal RNA", at positions 524 to 776 of the family's 1533-position model. The record is from RNAcentral.